GUAGGUGGCAAGCGUUGUCCGGAAUUAUUGGGCGUAAAGCGCGCGCAGGCGGUUCUUUAAGUCUGAUGUGAAAGCCCACGGCUCAACCGUGGAGGGUCAUUGGAAACUGGAGAACUUGAGUACAGAAGAGGAAAGCGGAAUUCCACGUGUAGUGGUGAAAUGCGUAGAGAUGUGGAGGAACACCAGUGGCGAAGGCGGCUUUCUGGUCUGUAACUGACGCUGAGGCGCGAAAGCGUGGGGAGCAAACAGGAUUAGAUACCCUGGUAGUCCACGCCGUAAACGAUGAGUGCUAAGUGUUAGGGGGUUUCCGCCCCCCUUAGUGCUGUAGCUAACGCAUUAAGCACUCCGCCUGGGGAUACGGCCGCAAGGCUG
This 372-nucleotide ribosomal RNA is filed under the name uncultured organism. Its description in RNAcentral is "partial 16S ribosomal RNA". It matches the Rfam family "Bacterial small subunit ribosomal RNA", at positions 527 to 896 of the family's 1533-position model. The record is from RNAcentral.